UACGGGGGGAGUAAGCGUUGUUCGGAUUUACUGGGCGUAAAGGGCGCGUAGGCGGUCAGCACAAGUCAGUUGUGAAAUCUCCGGGCUUAACUCGGAAAGGUCAACUGAUACUGUGCGACUAGAGUGCGGAAGGGGCAACUGGAAUUCUCGGUGUAGCGGUGAAAUGCGUAGAUAUCGAGAGGAACACCUGCGGCGAAGGCGGGUUGCUGGGCCGACACUGACGCUGAUGCGCGAAAGCGUGGGGAGCAAACAGG
This 254-nucleotide ribosomal RNA is filed under the name uncultured bacterium. Its description in RNAcentral is "partial 16S ribosomal RNA". It matches the Rfam family "Bacterial small subunit ribosomal RNA", at positions 524 to 776 of the family's 1533-position model. The record is from RNAcentral.